Molecule: long non-coding RNA, 433 nt
Filed under: Phoenix dactylifera (date palm)
Lineage: Eukaryota; Viridiplantae; Streptophyta; Magnoliopsida; Arecales; Arecaceae
Description: long non-coding RNA (PDAC_LNC011781)
Source: RNAcentral
UUGGUGUAGCCCAAAUUGAAUUUAGCAAUCUAAUUACUAAUUAAUCCUUCAAUAAUUCAGUAAUUAUUUUACUGCAACUUUUGCUUAUGGUAAUCUGUCAAUCGAAUUGACCGAUGUACCUCUAGAUGAUUAUUAAUCGUCGAUCAGCCAUUUGAUCAAGCUACAAACUUCUAUGCGUGUAACCCCAUAGGUUCGAACCUAAGCCGGUAGCACAAGAACGACUUUCUGUACUAAUCGAAGUAACCAUCUAGCAAUAGUAUCCGAUGUCCGGAUAGGCCAAAUAAUUGCAAAGCAAUAUUCUGGAACCCUUGAACUAUGGUUACUGUAUAAUUCAUCCCUAUGACACCAAAUGCCUAGGAUGACUUCAGAGUCCUGUCAACUCUUUAAUUAGUGCAUCCAAAAAUGUAUUUCAACUUUACUAAUCCUGCGACUC